AUACGUAGGGUGCAAGCGUUAAUCGGAAUUACUGGGCGUAAAGCGUGCGCAGGCGGUUUUGUAAGACAGUGGUGAAAUCCCCGGGCUCAUCCUGGGAACUGCCAUUGUGACUGCAAGGCUGGAGUGCGGCAGAGGGGGAUGGAAUUCCGCGUGUAGCAGUGAAAUGCGUAGAUAUGCGGAGGAACACCGAUGGCGAAGGCAAUCCCCUGGGCCUGCACUGACGCUCAUGCACGAAAGCGUGGGGAGCAAACAGGAUUAGAUACCCUGGUAGUCCACGCCCUAAACGAUGUCAACUGGUUGUUGGGGAUUUAUUUUCUCAGUAACGAAGCUAACGCGUGAAGUUGACCGCCUGGGGAGUACGGCCGCAAGGUUAAAACUCAAAGGAAUUGACGGGG
This 395-nucleotide ribosomal RNA is filed under the name uncultured bacterium. RNAcentral's name for it is "partial 16S ribosomal RNA". It matches the Rfam family "Bacterial small subunit ribosomal RNA", at positions 523 to 918 of the family's 1533-position model. The record is from RNAcentral.